This 554-nucleotide ribosomal RNA is filed under the name uncultured bacterium. RNAcentral's name for it is "partial 16S ribosomal RNA". It matches the Rfam family "Bacterial small subunit ribosomal RNA", at positions 355 to 900 of the family's 1533-position model. The record is from RNAcentral.
UAGGGAAUCUUCCACAAUGGACGCAAGUCUGAUGGAGCAACGCCGCGUGAGUGAAGAAGGUUUUCGGACCGUAAAGCUCUGUUGUUGGUGAAGAAGGAUAGAGGUAGUAACUGGCCUUUAUUUGACGGUAAUCAACCAGAAAGUCACGGCUAACUACGUGCCAGCAGCCGCGGUAAUACGUAGGUGGCAAGCGUUGUCCGGAUUUAUUGGGCGUAAAGCGAGCGCAGGCGGAAGAAUAAGUCUGAUGUGAAAGCCCUCGGCUUAACCGAGGAAUUGCAUCGGAAACCGUUUUCUUGAGUGCAGAAGAGGAGAGUAGAACUCCAUGUGUAGCGGUGGAAUGCGUAGAUAUAUGGAAGAAUACCAGUGGCGAAGGCGGCUCUCUGGUCUGCAACUGACGCUGAGGCUCGAAAGCAUGGGUAGCGAACAGGAUUAGAUACCCUGGUAGUCCAUGCCGUAAACGAUGAGUGCUAAGUGUUGGGAGGCUUCCGCCUCUCAGUGCUGCAGCUAACGCAUUAAGCACUCCGCCUGGGGGAGUACGACCGCAAGGUUGAAAC